UACGGAAGGCAGCAGUGGGGAAUAUUGCACAAUGGGCGCAAGCCUGAUGCAGCCAUGCCGCGUGUAUGAAGAAGGCCUUCGGGUUGUAAAGUACUUUCAGUCGUGAGGAAGGUGUUAAGGUUAAUAACCUUAGCAAUUGACGUUAGCGACAGAAGAAGCGCCGGCUAACUCCGUGCCAGCAGCCGCGGUAAUACGGAGGGUGCGAGCGUUAAUCGGAAUUACUGGGCGUAAAGGGCACGCAGGCGGUUAAUAAGUUGGAUGUGAAUCCCCGGGCUUAACCUGGGAAUGGCAUUCAAGACUGGUUAGCUAGAGUCUUGUAGAGGGGGUAGAAUUCCAUGUGUAGCGGUGAAAUGCGUAGAGAUGUGGAGGAAUACCGGUGGCGAAGGCGGCCCCUGGGACAAGACUGACGCUCAUGUGCGAAAGCGUGGGGAGCGAAACAGGAUUAGAUACC
Molecule: ribosomal RNA, 451 nt
Filed under: uncultured bacterium
Lineage: Bacteria
Description: bacterial SSU rRNA
Rfam family: Bacterial small subunit ribosomal RNA
Source: RNAcentral